CCACCGAAGCAUGCGGGAUCAAGAUCGUGUGCAGUUAUUAUCGUAACUGCAACUUAAACAGUUGUAUAUACAUCACAUGAUCUAGAAUAGAAUUGCGGUAGUGUAGCCCGGAGGGGAUUCAGCGUAGGGGCAGACGGGCAGGAGGACUCUAGUACUCCUACACACUGGAUCUCCAUGAAGAUUAGGAGAAAAAUAAGAGGAGACAAAAGACGAAGGAAGGAAAAGAGGACCCAAGGAAGAAGCUCCCUUGAUCUCUUAUGCUGCUGCUCUACUUGAUCCAAUCACACCUACAAUGGCCCUACUCCGGUUAUCGACAACGUUGGUCAUGAUCACUGCACUGAUGAGUGAGACUCUAAUAGACGGCAUGGUGGUUGGCAAAAGAGACGAAGGACUUACCGUUGGCAAGAGAGAGCGAUAAAAAAUGGGAGGAAAUUAUGGCAUAUAGGUGGGGCCACUACACGUGGAUUCGGAUGUAAAUGUUGUAUUAGGGAUUGCCAUAUGUCUCGAGCUGUAUAUGAGCUGCCAGGCGACGACUGACUUCACCGCCUUCCACACCGGGUCGAGUAGAGCAGAGCGAUACCUCCAUCAUCUUGACUUUGAGAUGAGUAGUUGACUCAAUCGAUAGCUCGGAGGAAUCGCCUUCUUGCUUUCGCGGUUGCUGGUUGGUUCUGAUUUCUUACAACAUAAACAGGUAAUUUUGUUGAUGAUCAGACUUCUUUUCCUAAUCCUCUCUCUGUGAUUUCGCUUCAGUUUUCUGCAUAACUCUAGGCGGCCGCCUGGGCUUAUGGGCGAAACAUCAAUGGAUUUUUUUAGCUACUUAAUUUGAAGGAAAUUUUUGUUAAUUUGUUAGACUAAACAGUUGCCAUGGUCAUAUAUACAAUUUUGGGCAUCAAAUUCCAUUUCAUUUUAGGACUGCAGUAUCUAAACUAUGGUGAUUACAGUAUCUAGUACAGUAUGUGGCUCCCCAAUAUAUACUACAGUGAAAUGGCGAUAUCUACUAGCAGAAAGUUUAU
Molecule: long non-coding RNA, 1013 nt
Organism: Oryza brachyantha (malo sina)
Lineage: Eukaryota; Viridiplantae; Streptophyta; Magnoliopsida; Poales; Poaceae
Exons: 3
Source: RefSeq, a predicted model, not a curated record